RNAcentral lists this ribosomal RNA (253 nucleotides) under uncultured bacterium. RNAcentral describes it as "partial 16S ribosomal RNA". It matches the Rfam family "Bacterial small subunit ribosomal RNA", at positions 524 to 776 of the family's 1533-position model. The record is from RNAcentral.
UACAGAGGUCCCGAGCGUUGUUCGGAUUCAUUGGGCGUAAAGGGUGCGUAGGCGGCGGGGCAAGUCUGACGUGAAAUCCCGGGGCUCAACCCCGGAACUGCAUUGGAUACUGCCUUGCUAGAGUACUGGAGAGGGAACUGGAAUUUACGGUGUAGCAGUGAAAUGCGUAGAGAUCGUAAGGAAGGCCAGUGGCGAAGGCGAGUUCCUGGACAGUUACUGACGCUGAGGCACGAAGGCCAGGGGAGCAAACGGG